RNAcentral lists this ribosomal RNA (32 nucleotides) under Heterorhabditis bacteriophora. Its description in RNAcentral is "partial 28S ribosomal RNA". The record is from RNAcentral. Lineage: Eukaryota; Metazoa; Nematoda; Chromadorea; Rhabditida; Heterorhabditidae.
UGCAACCUGAGCUCAGUCGUGAUUACCCGCUG